This 800-nucleotide ribosomal RNA is filed under the name uncultured bacterium. RNAcentral describes it as "SSU rRNA". It matches the Rfam family "Bacterial small subunit ribosomal RNA", at positions 71 to 853 of the family's 1533-position model. The record is from RNAcentral.
AUCAAGAGCUUGCUCUUAAGAAGUUAGCGGCGGACGGGUGAGUAACACGUAGGUAACCUGCCUAUAAGACUGGGAUAACUCCGGGAAACCGGGGCUAAUACCGGAUAACAUUUUGCACCGCAUGGUGCGAAAUUGAAAGGCGGCUUCGGCUGUCACUUAUAGAUGGACCUGCGGCGCAUUAGCUAGUUGGUGAGGUAACGGCUCACCAAGGCGACGAUGCGUAGCCGACCUGAGAGGGUGAUCGGCCACACUGGGACUGAGACACGGCCCAGACUCCUACGUGAGGCAGCAGUAGGGAAUCUUCCGCAAUGGACGAAAGUCUGACGGAGCAACGCCGCGUGAGCGAUGAAGGCCUUCGGGUCGUAAAGCUCUGUUGUUAGGGAAGAACAAGUGCUAGUUGAAUAAGCUGGCACCUUGACGGUACCUAACCAGAAAGCCACGGCUAACUACGUGCCAGCAGCCGCGGUAAUACGUAGGUGGCAAGCGUUAUCCGGAAUUAUUGGGCGUAAAGCGCGCGCAGGUGGUUUCUUAAGUCUGAUGUGAAAGCCCACGGCUCAACCGUGGAGGGUCAUUGGAAACUGGGAGACUUGAGUGCAGAAGAGGAAAGUGGAAUUCCAUGUGUAGCGGUGAAAUGCGUAGAGAUAUGGAGGAACACCAGUGGCGAAGGCGACUUUCUGGUCUGCAACUGACACUGAGGCGCGAAAGCGUGGGGAGCAAACAGGAUUAGAUACCCUGGUAGUCCACGCCGUAAACGAUGAGUGCUAAGUGUUAGAGGGUUUCCGCCCUUUAGUGCUGAAGUU